This 2111-nucleotide long non-coding RNA is filed under the name Gossypium barbadense (sea-island cotton). Its description in RNAcentral is "long non-coding RNA (GBAR_LNC001432)". The record is from RNAcentral. Lineage: Eukaryota; Viridiplantae; Streptophyta; Magnoliopsida; Malvales; Malvaceae.
UCUCUUUCAUUUAUAGUAAAAGCCGAACCUAUCAUUCUUUUCAUUGCUAACCGAAUAGCAACAAGCCAAAUCCCGAAGGAGUCAAAGGAAGUCGUUUUCUUUAUAAAGGUAUACACUUGUUCUUUUUCUUUUUAGCCGAUUAUUGUUAUUUUAAAAAGCCUUUCAACUCUUUUGUCAACACCCUUUUCGGUCCAUAACCACUUUUUUCUUCAGUGACCCAAAAGCCGAAAUCAGUGAAGCUAGUGGGGGUGCCGAAUCUUUGUUGACCAGCAACUCUCUAUUUCCUUUUCACUUGUUGGUAUUCAAUUCCCUCAUCUUUUAGGCAUAACGGAUUUAAGAGGAGAAAGACUGUGGUAAGUGCUCGAACUCUAAACGAUUCCUAGAGUAUCUAGUGGCCAAAAGUCGAAACCCCUCUAGUUUAGGGAAGUGGCUGAAUAUGGGUAUAGGCCUUAUAGGGUUCUUCUUUUAAUAUUUUUAUGGUUUCUAUAGUGGAGGAGCAGCAAGACGUAGUGUCGACUAGGAUUAGCUUGGAUCACCGGAGUGGCUAGAUCUCAUCAUAAAUCUCGGCAAAGGUAAGGUUCCUUAGGCCAUUAUGGAUGGUGGCCGGAUGUGUAAGUAUUAAUAUUAGAGGGUUUUUGAUUUGGUUUAAUUAUUGUGAGCUGAUCUAUUAACGGUUGAUUAUAGGAGAAAUCACAUAGGAGAUCUCGACGAGGAAUAUCGCAAACAGGCGUGUAACGAACCCUUUUUCAUAGCUUAAAGCGAUAAAUGCCGAAAAGCCGAAAUGCCAAAACUCUGGCAUUUCGAGGACUUGUGAGCAAGCGAACGCUCAUUAGUCAGUUAGAUUGUUGAGAUGAUGAUCGGGAAGGUUGGAAAAGGUAAUAGCGUGAUUUUUGGCAUUCACGAUAAAUUGGGCCUCGAGGGGCUGAAACAGGGCCCAAUGGGCAUUCGGGCCCAUUUGAGUAAAAUUGGUAGAAUAUGGAAACUUGUUAAAUUGUGCAUCGAGACUGAAAAAACCGUUAUGGAAUAUAGGCUGAAUAGGCCUAGAUGACAAAAUCGGCUAAGUAGGGCCAUUAGGGGUUUUUAGGCCCAAUAACUCGAUUUCACUAAAAAUGGGUCAGAAUCACUAUUUGCACCCAUGAAUUGUUAGUAACCGUUAAUGAACAUGGAAACCCUAAUUUUCAGUAAAAAUUACAGAAUUACCCUUAUAAUAUGAAAAUGACUGUUUUGCCCCUAGGUAAAAAUGACCAUUAUACCCCUAGGGUUUAAAUAUGAAUUUAAUACAUGGGAUUUUGAUAAACAUGGUAUGUAUGAUAUGCACAUGAAAUGUAUGAUAUGCACAUGAUAUGUAUGAUAUACACAUGGUGUAUUCAUAAAUGCAUUGGGUUGGUUUUAUAUGGAUGGAGGAAGUGCAAAAGGGCUUAUGCCCUAGUUAUUAAAGGGCUUAUGCCCCAGUUGUUAAAAGGGAUUUUGCCCCAGUUAUUAAAAGAGGCUAGGCCUCCAGUUAUAUGAUAAAGCAGCUAUGCUGCCAGUGGAGAGUUAUGGCGGGGUGGGUCGAGUUAAUCCCCACAUGGUGUGUUGGUUGGUACGGGUGGAGAGUAGCGGAUGGUGGGUUGAGUAGUCUCCCCAAAUGGGCUUGCAUUCUCUCAUUGACAUUACAUGUGAUAUUGAAAUGGGCCUAUGGGCCAUACCGUUUACAGUAAAAGCUUUGGCCCAGUAAUAUGAAAUAUGAAAAGGUUUCGGCCCAGUACAUGUUGAGUUUGGAUUUGGGCUUAGGCCCAACAGGCUGUUAUUGUUUUGGGCUCUGAAAGGGGCUUGUUGCACACUGAGUUUCCAAACGCACCCCCUUUCCUUAACCUUGCAGGUGAGCCUUGAUGUGGGGACUUGGGCCGGAGGGGAUUCAGAGUAGCCACGGUGAUCGCCUUUGGACUUUUAAAUAAGCGUUGGUUUUCAUUAAAUUUCCUUUAAUUAUUAUUUAUUUUUGGGUUGUAAUAAGGCCAUUUUAACAUUCCUUUUAUUUCUUUUCGGGAUUAUUUUAAUUUUAAUAACUUUAAACCUGGUUGAUAAUUAUUCAAAUGGGCUAGACUUAGGACGUGUUUUUAAAAUGAUACUUG